RNAcentral lists this ribosomal RNA (253 nucleotides) under uncultured bacterium. RNAcentral's name for it is "partial 16S ribosomal RNA". It matches the Rfam family "Bacterial small subunit ribosomal RNA", at positions 524 to 776 of the family's 1533-position model. The record is from RNAcentral.
UACGAAGGGGGCUAGCGUUGCUCGGAAUUACUGGGCGUAAAGCGCACGUAGGCGGGCUUUUAAGUCGGAGGUGAAAUCCUGGAGCUUAACUCCAGAACUGCCUUCGAAACUGAAAGUCUUGAGUUCGGGAGAGGUGAGUGGAACUGCGAGUGUAGAGGUGAAAUUCGUAGAUAUUCGGAGGAACACCAGUGGCGAAGGCGGCUCACUGGCUCGAUACUGACGCUGAGGUGCGAAAGCGUGGGGAGCAAACAGG